CCUACGGGAGGCAGCAGUGGGGGAUAUUGCACACUGGGGGAAACCCUGAUGCAGCGACGCCGCGUGGGUGAAGAAGCGCCUCGGCGCGUAAAGCCCUGUCAGCAGGGAAGAAAAUGACGGUACCUGAAGAAGAAGCCCCGGCUAACUACGUGCCAGCAGCCGCGGUAAUACGUAGGGGGCAAGCGUUAUCCGGAUUUACUGGGUGUAAAGGGGGCGCAGACGGCGAUGCAAGCCAGGAGUGAAAGCCCGGGGCCCAACCCCGGGACUGCUCUUGGAACUGCGUGGCUAGAGUGCAGGAGGGGCAGGCGGAAUUCCUGGUGUAGCGGUGAAAUGCGUAGAUAGCAGGAGGAACACCGGUGGCGAAGGCGGCCUGCUGGACUGCAACUGACGUUGAGGCCCGAAAGCGUGGGGAGCAAACAGGAUUAGAUACCCCAGUAGUC
Molecule: ribosomal RNA, 440 nt
Filed under: uncultured bacterium
Lineage: Bacteria
Description: partial 16S ribosomal RNA
Rfam family: Bacterial small subunit ribosomal RNA
Source: RNAcentral